CAGGUGUCAUAUUUUUUUUUAUCUCCAGCUAUGCUGAUCAGCAAUAUUUAAAUUCACAUUUAAUCCAUAUACUAGAAGAGAAAAAUAUAUUUACCAUUAAUGUAACAAAGAGACAUACUCUUUUCUACCAGAGACUGAAUGAUGUAAAGUACUAUAGGUCAGCAACUCACUGUUCUGACUUCAACAGUGAGCAAAAUGAGAAAAAAUAGGUAUUUAUUAAAAUUUGUUUCCCCCACAAUCUUUCAAAACCCCUUCUCCAUGUAAGGGGUUGAAAUCUGCUUAUUGUUUGUAUAAUCUAUUCAUCCCAUGAAAUUUGUGUCACAAUGUUCUAUCAGAACUUCCUCAAAUUAGGUUUCAAGCUUUUAAUGAUAUAUUUUCAGUAAUGAAUGGUUAAACUAACAAUUGAACUGCAAUCUGCUGG
This 421-nucleotide long non-coding RNA is filed under the name Mytilus galloprovincialis (Mediterranean mussel). The record is from RNAcentral. Lineage: Eukaryota; Metazoa; Mollusca; Bivalvia; Mytilida; Mytilidae.